UAACGCGUGAGGAACCUGCCUUCCAGAGGGGGACGAACAGUUGGAAACGACUGCUAAUACCGCAUGAUGCGUUGGAGCCGCAUGACUCUGACGUCAAAGAUUUAUCGCUGGAAGAUGGCCUCGCGUCUGAUUAGCUAGUUGGUGAGGUAACGGCCCACCAAGGCGACGAUCAGUAGCCGGACUGAGAGGUUGGCCGGCCACAUUGGGACUGAGAUACGGCCCAGACUCCUACGGAAGGCAGCAG
This 244-nucleotide ribosomal RNA is filed under the name uncultured bacterium. RNAcentral's name for it is "partial 16S ribosomal RNA". It matches the Rfam family "Bacterial small subunit ribosomal RNA", at positions 111 to 354 of the family's 1533-position model. The record is from RNAcentral.